UCGUCCGCCGCGUGCCGCGCCGGUCCCGCCGCCCCCGCCCGGGGAAUUUUCCGCAAUGGGCGAAAGCCUGACGGAGCAAGACCGCGUGAGGGAGGAAGGCUCUUGGGUUGUAAACCUCUUUUCUCAGGGAAGAACAAAAUGACGUGUACCUCGAGGAAUCAGCAUCGGCUAACUCCGUGCCAGCAGCCGCGGUAAUACGGAGGAUGCAAGCGUUAUCCGGAAUCAUUGGGCGUAAAGCGUUCGUAGGUGGCUGGGCAAGUCUGCUGUCAAAGACCAGAGCUUAACUCUGGAAAGGCGGUGGAAACUGCAGAGCUAGAGUGCGGUAGGGGUAGAGGGAAUUCCCGGUGUAGCGGUGAAAUGCGUAGAGAUCGGGAAGAACACCGGG
This 385-nucleotide ribosomal RNA is filed under the name Lyngbya kuetzingiana VB512323. RNAcentral describes it as "bacterial SSU rRNA". It matches the Rfam family "Bacterial small subunit ribosomal RNA", at positions 304 to 713 of the family's 1533-position model. Lineage: Bacteria; Bacillati; Cyanobacteriota; Cyanophyceae; Oscillatoriales; Microcoleaceae. The record is from RNAcentral.